This 302-nucleotide signal recognition particle RNA is filed under the name Oncorhynchus mykiss (rainbow trout). Its description in RNAcentral is "Metazoan signal recognition particle RNA (ENSOMYG00000065327.1)". It matches the Rfam family "Metazoan signal recognition particle RNA". Rfam says of the family: The signal recognition particle (SRP) is a universally conserved ribonucleoprotein. Lineage: Eukaryota; Metazoa; Chordata; Actinopteri; Salmoniformes; Salmonidae. The record is from RNAcentral.
GCCGGGUGCGGUGGCAUGUGCCCUGUAAUCAAGUCACUGGGAGGCUGAGGUUGGUGGAAUCAAGUGAGCUGAGGAGCUCUGGGCUGCAGCACUCUAUGUCGAACGGGUGUCCACGCUAAGUUUCGGUAUCGAUAUGGUGUUCCUUGGGGGAGCCCGGGACCACCAGGUUGUCUAAGGAGGGGUGAACCGGCCCAGGUCGGAAACGAAGCAGGUCAAAUCCCCCGUGCUGUCCAGUAGUGGGAUACUACCUGUGAGUAGAUGCUGCAGUGCAGCCUUGGCAAAACAUCGAUACCCAGAUCUUU